GGUAACUGUGGUCCGCAAGCCGCGGUAAGACGGAGGGGGCAAGCGUUAAUCGGAAUUACUGGGCGGAAAGCGCGCGUAGAUGGUUGGUGAAGUUGAAUGUGAAAGCCCCGGGCUCAACCUGGGAACUGCAUCCAAAACUGGCAAGCUAUAGUAUGGUAGAGGGUAGUGGAAUUUCCUGUGUAGCGGUGAAAUGCGUAGAUAUAGGAAGGAACACCAGUGGCGAAGGCGACUACCUGGACUGAUACUGACACUGAGGUGCGAAAGCGUGGGGAGCAAACAGGAUUAGAUACCCGAGUAGUC
RNAcentral lists this ribosomal RNA (300 nucleotides) under uncultured Lactobacillus sp. RNAcentral's name for it is "bacterial SSU rRNA". It matches the Rfam family "Bacterial small subunit ribosomal RNA", at positions 496 to 795 of the family's 1533-position model. The record is from RNAcentral. Lineage: Bacteria; Bacillati; Bacillota; Bacilli; Lactobacillales; Lactobacillaceae.